UCUCCCGGGAGCACACCUGGCAGACCCCUCUCCCACGGCCGCUCAGGCAUGAGCAUGUCGUGCUGUUUCCAAACAGAUCAUCAGCCCAGUUCCCAAGGCAGUGCUGUCACGUGGGUGUGAUCACCCCCCUAUUUGCAGUCAGGGUUUUCAUUGCUGGCCUCCACACUCUGCAGAAUGGAUUUCACCUGUUGGAUGAGCCCCACCCAUCUCACUUCACUUCAUCUCACCUCACAGGUCACCCUGGAGCUUUAAUCCAGUGGUUCUCAAAGUGUGGGCCCUGGGCCAGCAGCAUCAGCAGCAUCAGGAAACCUGCACCCCAGACCUACCGAAUCAGAUACUCUGGGGGUGGGCCCAGCAGUCCGGGUGAUUCUGAUGUCCUUCUAACGUGGGGCUCUGCCUGGUUCACAGUAACCGCUCUGAGCCAGCGGUUCUCAAACUCAGCUGCACACUGGAAUCACCUGAGGGCUCUAAAAAUACGGAUGCUCAGGCCACACCCAGACCAACUGAAUCAGACUCUCGGGGGAUGGACAUCAGCAGCUUCUACAGCUCCUGGGUGAUGCCUGUGUGCAGCCAGGACCGACGCCCAUGCUCUAGGCCUCACUGUUACUUCUGACGGGGACUGGCAGGGAAGGGGGCUGCCUGACCGCUACUCACGGAAGUGCCUUGACGUCCAUGUGUCUCAGCUCAUCCCCACGUGACCCCACAAAGUUCUCCACGCUGACUUUCUGAAAAAAGAGAAUGCUAUUUCUCACCACACGUUGGCGUUCCAGACAUCAAAUGCGUGGUCCAACAAGGACAGGAGGACAUACGCUACCGCUUCCCAAGGGAGAGCACCUCGCCCUCCUUCUCCGAGGGAGGAACAGGCGUAGGACCUCCUCGACUGUGCUGGUGGAGAUUACGAUGGGAACACUGCCUUCAGCCAAGAUGAAAUAAGCACCUACUCUGUGCUGUGCUGCGGGCCACCUGCUCUACCCGGUGGACUAGGACCUCACUGUCCCCAACUUCAGUGACUGUAUCGUGCCCCUGGGUACAUGCGCAUUCCUCUCACAAACAUUUGCUGAGCAUCUACGUAUAUGACCCUACUUCACUCAGCAAAUAUUCGUAGAGUACCUAUUAUGUGCCAGGAACCAUCCCAGGCUCUGGGAAUCCAGCGGAAAGCAGUCCCUGGCCUCCUAGAGCUGCUCGUUCUAGUAGAGGGAGAAAAACAGUGAGCCAACAAGAGGAGGAGAUGAUAGGCAGGGGCACCAGCACUGAAGGAAGCAAAACAAGAGAGCCCUCCGGCCAGGCAGACAACAGCGUUUGGAGGGGCCGGUGCCCCUGGGGUCAGCAGGGCUGCCCUGGGAGGAGGCCUCCCCGCUGAGACCCAUACCCCAUGCAGGAACCACCAGGAGCAAUGGGAGUCCCCGGAGGUCCUGACACAACCUGGUCGACGUUUGUGAAGAAGGUCCUCUGACGGCCGGCGAGGUUGGCGGUGGAGUCCGCCUCUUCCCGUGAGAGAAGCCAAGGUGGAGCCGGCUGCCCUGCAGAUCUAGAACCCCUUGUCCACUUCAGGCCUGUUGAGACCACCAACUCAUCAACUGAGCCCGCGCAGAUGUCUGAUAGGCGACCUUUUGACGUCAAGAGGCUAAAAACUCCACCCUCAGAUCAUGCUAGCACCGCCAUUUUGUGAACAUGGGUCCUAUGAAGAGGCAUGGAGUCUGACUACUUGUGCAGAUCAUCAAUUACUUCACCUCCAAUCACCUCUCUCCACGUUUCAGACCACCUUGCCCUACCCCAUAAAUAUCCCUGAGUGCCUAUUUUCGAGGAAGCGGGUUUGAGGCUCAUGCUCUCGCUUCCUCGCAUGGCUGCCUUGUGAGUAAACCCUGUGUCUGCUGCAAUCUCGUCAUCUCGGUGUUCGCUUUCUGGGCGGUGGGCAAAAACGAACCUGGUUCGGCAACAAUUGCGUCGGAUUACUUUAGAAGCAGAAUCUGCAGCUGGAAAUGAGAGAAUUGGGCCAACUGCUGGCCUGUGGGUUCUUCCUCCCUCUCCUUCCUGUCCAGAUCCCAGACUCCCAGCCCUGAUUUUGCAGCAUUUGAGUGUUUUUCGGGUGUCAUGAAAAUCUCUCCAGGAAAAGGCCUUUGAAUUCAUUUUCCUUACAUCUGGUUUUUGUGCUAAGCCUGGUGGGAAGGUUGGCUUCAUGGUUACACCCCCGUGACAGAAAUAGGGUGGAGGAGGGAGCUGCAUUUCUUCAUUCAAUCAAGUAUUAUUUUAAAGUGUUUUAUUGGUGUCUAACACAAAUAAAGGAUGCAAAUCUUAAGUGUA
This is a long non-coding RNA of Equus asinus (donkey), 2301 nucleotides long. The record is from Ensembl. Lineage: Eukaryota; Metazoa; Chordata; Mammalia; Perissodactyla; Equidae.